This 258-nucleotide ribosomal RNA is filed under the name uncultured bacterium. Its description in RNAcentral is "partial 16S ribosomal RNA". It matches the Rfam family "Bacterial small subunit ribosomal RNA", at positions 524 to 776 of the family's 1533-position model. The record is from RNAcentral.
UACGUAGGGUGCAAGCGUUAAUCGGAAUUACUGGGCGUAAAGCGUGCGCAGGCGGUUUUUGUAAGUUUGUCGUGAAAUCCCCCGGGCUCAACCUGGGAAUGGCGAUGAAGACUGCAAGGCUAGAAUCUGGCAGAGGGGGGGGUAGAAUUCCACGUGUAGCAGUGAAAUGCGUAGAGAUGUGGAGGAACACCGAUGGCGAAGGCAGCCCCCCUGGGCCUGCACUGACGCUCAUGCACGAAAGCGUGGGGAGCAAACAGG